RNAcentral lists this transfer RNA (85 nucleotides) under Thauera phenolivorans. RNAcentral describes it as "tRNA-Leu". It matches the Rfam family "tRNA". From Rfam's summary of the family: Transfer RNA (tRNA) molecules are approximately 80 nucleotides in length. RNAcentral also lists the same sequence under 2 other names. The record is from RNAcentral. Lineage: Bacteria; Pseudomonadati; Pseudomonadota; Betaproteobacteria; Rhodocyclales; Zoogloeaceae.
GCGAGGGUGGCGGAAUUGGUAGACGCACUGGAUUUAGGUUCCAGCGCCGCAAGGCGUGUGAGUUCGAGUCUCAUCCCUCGCACCA